Molecule: unclassified non-coding RNA, 253 nt
Filed under: uncultured Halomonadaceae bacterium
Lineage: Bacteria; Pseudomonadati; Pseudomonadota; Gammaproteobacteria; Oceanospirillales; Halomonadaceae
Description: contains 16S-23S intergenic spacer region
Rfam family: Bacterial small subunit ribosomal RNA
Source: RNAcentral
UACGGAGGGGGCAAGCGUUAAUCGGAAUUACUGGGCGUAAAGCGUGCGUAGGCGGCUUGGUAAGCCGGUUGUGAAAGCCCCGGGCUCAACCUGGGAAUGGCAUCCGGAACUGUCAGGCUAGAGUGCAGGAGAGGAAGGUAGAAUUCCCGGUGUAGCGGUGAAAUGCGUAGAGAUCGGGAGGAAUACCAGUGGCGAAGGCGGCCUUCUGGACUGACACUGACGCUGAGGUACGAAAGCGUGGGUAGCAAACAGG